Molecule: ribosomal RNA, 629 nt
Filed under: uncultured bacterium
Lineage: Bacteria
Description: bacterial SSU rRNA
Rfam family: Bacterial small subunit ribosomal RNA
Source: RNAcentral
GACGAACGCUGGCGGCGCGCCUAACACAUGCAAGUCGAACGAGAGAUGAAGAGCUUGCUCUUCAAAUCGAGUGGCGAACGGGUGAGUAACGUGUGAGGAACCUGCCUCAAAGAGGGGGACAACAGUUGGAAACGACUGCUAAUACCGCAUAAGCCCACGGCUCGGCAUCGAGCAGAGGGAAAAGGAGCAAUCCGCUUUGAGAUGGCCUCGCGUCCGAUUAGCUAGUUGGUGAGGUAACGGCCCACCAAGGCAACGAUCGGUAGCCGGACUGAGAGGUUGAACGGCCACAUUGGGACUGAGACACGGCCCAGACUCCUACGGGAGGCAGCAGUGGGGAAUAUUGCACAAUGGGGGAAACCCUGAUGCAGCGACGCCGCGUGGAGGAAGAAGGUCUUCGGAUUGUAAACUCCUGUUGUUGAGGAAGAUAAUGACGGUACUCAACAAGGAAGUGACGGCUAACUACGUGCCAGCAGCCGCGGUAAAACGUAGGUCACAAGCGUUGUCCGGAAUUACUGGGUGUAAAGGGAGCGCAGGCGGGAGAACAAGUUGGAAGUGAAAUCCAUGGGCUCAACCCAUGAACUGCUUUCAAAACUGUUUUUCUUGAGUAGUGCAGAGGUAGGCGGAAUUCC